Cyprinus carpio carpio is the source of this 1249-nucleotide long non-coding RNA. Lineage: Eukaryota; Metazoa; Chordata; Actinopteri; Cypriniformes; Cyprinidae. The record is from Ensembl.
CAAAAAUGAGGAAGAUUAGUUCCGCCCGGACCAUAUAUCGCAAACACCGCCACUUCCGGGAAAGCCGGCGAACACAAAUCGGCGUGUUAUUGGGAACGGGUGUCUUGUUGAGCGUGGCGAUCACUGAUUGGGCAAUUUGGUGAAGAGGAGACACAUAAAUAGGGCAUCAGAAACACAGGAAGGGCCUGGUGAUUCCCAGUAGUUACUGUGGGCGCAAUGGAGCGGAGGAGAGAGUUGGAGAGAGAGUGUAUGAUGCAUUGUGUGAUGUGAAGUUAACACACAUUGAAGAUCUGCUAGGAUUGCAGGAAGGAGAUCGUGCUGCCAGUUGUGUCGGAUGUCGGUUAUCUGGAAGAGAAGUGGAGAGAUCCAGUGUUAAUGAAAGUGAUUGGUGGGUGAGCCGGAACCAGCGAAAAAGGAGUCUGGUGCCUUGUCGUGGCUGUGACGUUCCCUCUGGCCGUCUGCUGCAUCGGUGCCCCCAACGUCCAGGAACUAAUCCCCGGUCCUAUGUGGUUUUGACCCUAAUUCACUGUGAGUGUGUGGAGUGUAGUGGGCGAGUCCUUUUCUUUGCUGUGUGUAUACUUGAAGUCUGCAGUGUCGUGCUGUGUCAUGUUGUCAGUCAUCACCCUCUAGGCUGGGAGAGAAAACCCUGUGGAGAAGAACGUGCACCGGUGUUGUGAGACGACCGUCUUUUAUAUACAUGCCCGCUCGCGGCUUUGGACCCCUACUCCGCCGAGUGGCGACGUGCCAACAAUAGCAAGUAAGGAACAGUGUGCAUAUUGUGGGGGACGACGACUGAGAGAAGUGUGGGCUGCUAUAUGAACAUCCAGCUGUGUAGCCCUUGUGUAUGAAUACCUGUUUGGGGAGUACUUUCAGAGGUUCGCCCCUGUCUAGAUCUCUGGUCCGUUGUUUGGAAGAGAGGAGAGGGAAGCGUUCGAGUCAUUCCUGAGGUACAUACCCGGUGACACAAACCUACCUGAAGUCACUCAGCGUGGUGGCACCAGCUGAGGCCGUGGAAGGCCCAACGUGCAGCGACUUCAAUCUGUACUUCUAUCCACUCUUGGUCAAAUUCGAGAGGUGGUGUGUCUUUCUCCAUAUAUUCACUGAAGCUAAGUAAAUUUGUGAAGGAACUCUGUCUGUCUGUUACUAGUCCUACAGGUCUGAGCUUGAGGCUCUGAGUCGUCGUGGGAGUGUUUCCACGGUUGGAGGUGACCGUGUUGAGUGUUGGUCUGGGAAGUCUGCCCUGGUGAAG